CAAAAUUUCUCAAUGCGGGAAACCGUGACGAGGGAAUUCCGAGUGCUCAUACAAUGUAUGGGCUUUUCUUAUGUGUAAAAAGCAUGAGGAAUAAGGGCUGGGUAAGACCGGUGCCAGCCGCCGCGGUAAUACCGGCAGCUCUAGUGGUAGCCACUUUUAUUGGGCCUAAAGCGUCCGUAGCCGGUCAGGUAAAUCCUUGGGUAAAUCGUACAGCUUAACUGUGCGGCUUCCGGGGAGACUGCCUGACUUGGGACCGGGAGAGGUUGGAGGUACUCCUGGGGUAGGGGUGAAAUCCUGUAAUCCUAGGUGGACCACCGGUGGCGAAGGCGUCCAACCAGAACGGCUCCGACGGUGAGGGACGAAGGCUAGGGGCGCAAACCGGAUUAGAUACCCGGGUAGUCCUAGCUGUAAACGMUGCAGACUUGGUGUUGGAGAUCCCACGAGGGUGUCCAGUGCCGGAGAGAAGUUGUUAAGUUUGCCGCCUGGGAAGUAUGGCCGCAAGGCUGAAACUUAA
RNAcentral lists this ribosomal RNA (514 nucleotides) under uncultured euryarchaeote. RNAcentral's name for it is "bacterial SSU rRNA". It matches the Rfam family "Archaeal small subunit ribosomal RNA", at positions 343 to 859 of the family's 1478-position model. Lineage: Archaea; Methanobacteriati; Methanobacteriota. The record is from RNAcentral.